CCAGCAUUAGCGCCCCGCCCCGCCUCGCCGCCGUCGCCCCGUCCUUCAACGAUCGCUUUUUUGGCGCCAGGACGGCGGCAUCGCGAUGUAUAUCCUCGUCGCGCACCCCGGCCCCACAUCGCGUUCCCGCCUCUUCCUUCCUUCCCCUCCCUCCACCACCACCUCCUCCACUACCACCUCCACCACCACCACCUCACCUCCCUCCACCCCUCCACUAAU
Molecule: long non-coding RNA, 219 nt
Filed under: Micromonas commoda
Lineage: Eukaryota; Viridiplantae; Chlorophyta; Mamiellophyceae; Mamiellales; Mamiellaceae
Description: long non-coding RNA (MCOM_LNC000302)
Source: RNAcentral